RNAcentral lists this ribosomal RNA (509 nucleotides) under uncultured Rickettsiales bacterium. RNAcentral describes it as "bacterial SSU rRNA". It matches the Rfam family "Bacterial small subunit ribosomal RNA", at positions 538 to 1050 of the family's 1533-position model. The record is from RNAcentral. Lineage: Bacteria; Pseudomonadati; Pseudomonadota; Alphaproteobacteria; Rickettsiales.
GUGUUACUCGGAAUGAUUAGGCGUAAAGGGUCAUUUAAGCGGUCCGAUAAGUUAAAAGUCGAUGGUUAGAGCCUAACUCUUUCAUGCUUUUAAUACUGUCAGACUAGAGUAUAUUAGAGGAUAGUAGAAUUCACAGAGGAGGGGUAAAAUCCAGUAAUUUUGUGAGGAACACCAAAUGCGAAGGCAACUAUCUGGAAUAUUACUGACGCUGGAAGACGAAGGCAUAGGUAGCAAAUGGGAUUAGAGACCCCAGUAGUCUAUGCAGUAAACGAUGAGUGCUAAACGUGUGAUAAUCUAAGAUUAUUGUGUGUUACAGCUAACGCAUUAAGCACUCCGCCUGGGGAGUACGAUCGCAAGGUUGAAACUCAAAGAAAUUGGCGGGGAUUCAUACAAGCGGUGGAACAUGUGGUUUAAUUCGACGAUACGCGAAAAACCUUACCGAUCCUUGACAUCUAUUGUUGUUUAAUAUGUAGAUAUUUUAUGGAAAAAUAGACAGGUGUUGCAUGGCU